Molecule: non-coding RNA, 122 nt
Filed under: Carboxydothermus hydrogenoformans
Lineage: Bacteria; Bacillati; Bacillota; Clostridia; Thermoanaerobacterales; Thermoanaerobacteraceae
Also listed under: 1 other name
Description: TPP sequence
Rfam family: TPP riboswitch aptamer (THI element)
About the family: Vitamin B(1) in its active form thiamin pyrophosphate (TPP) is an essential coenzyme that is synthesised by coupling of pyrimidine and thiazole moieties in bacteria. The previously detected thiamin-regulatory element, thi box was extended, resulting in a new, highly conserved RNA secondary structure, the THI element, which is widely distributed in eubacteria and also occurs in some archaea.
Source: RNAcentral
AAUAUGGUUUAGGGGAGCUGAGGGGGUAAGCUCGGCUGAGAGUAGGCACCGAAAACCCUGUGCCUUGACCCUUGGAACCUGCUCCGGGUAAUGCCGGCGAAGGGAAAAAGACGACGUUAAAG